AAAAUUUAAAUUCUAUAAUAUUAACAAAAACAAGAAGAGGAUUAUAAUUGGAUUAUUAUUCUCUGACCAUACCUCUAUUUGUGAUAUCUUUAAGUAUUUAUAGUUAUAAAUGAUGAUCAAGGUAAAGACAACAAAUAAAAAUAUUUACUUAAAUCAUUAUUCGUCACAAGAAAUUGGACAAGUAUCAUUUUUUUUAUCAACACAUGGGUUGAUACAUUUUCUUUGUUUGGGUAAAAAGAAAUUAUUUGGUAGUAAAUAAUUUAGGCAAUAUACAACACAAAUACUCAUUAGUCAAUGAUGAUGGAAUUUAUAGACAAUGUAAAACUUGAUCAAAAAGUAACUUGCCCUCCAAAAGUUUACAAAUCCUUGAAAUAAAUUUUAUAUAUAUUAUUAACAAUUAUGAACCAUCCUCCAAAUUCAUCUUAAAAGCUCAACUGUGUCAAUUCUUAAUAUAUAUUUUUAGUUUUUUUUAAUGAAGGAUUUAUAAAACUUAUCAAAUUAGGUAGCACAACAACAACGUGUUCAAUACCUUUCAAACUGAAUUGUUGAUAAUUAUUAUCUUCACAUUUUGAAAGAUUAUUUGGAGAACUCAUAAUGUUCUUCAGUUUUACCAUAAUGAUGACUAUUAUACUUUAUCUUUGUC
This 643-nucleotide long non-coding RNA is filed under the name Solanum tuberosum (potato). RNAcentral's name for it is "long non-coding RNA (STUB_LNC009202)". The record is from RNAcentral. Lineage: Eukaryota; Viridiplantae; Streptophyta; Magnoliopsida; Solanales; Solanaceae.